Molecule: long non-coding RNA, 1538 nt
Filed under: Malus domestica (apple)
Lineage: Eukaryota; Viridiplantae; Streptophyta; Magnoliopsida; Rosales; Rosaceae
Description: long non-coding RNA (MDOM_LNC001602)
Source: RNAcentral
AAAUUACCGCCUAUUGCUUUAAUUUACUUAUUGUACUUCUUUUUGUUACGAUGAGUAUAUACAGGCCUGAAGUUCAUUGAUCAGAUCAAAACCUGAAGUUUCUUGAUCCUCAUCACAUAAAAUGAUUGGACCCGAAGUUUCAUCAUGCAAAAAGAUCAGGAAUGAAGUCCCUAGAUCCUCAAGAUUGGACAUGAAGUUUCUUGAUGAAUACCUUAAGUUUGAAGAGCUGAAGUGCCACAACUUAAUUGUAAUAAAGGCCAUGAGAAUCCCAAUCCAUAGGCUAUUAAAUAAGGACCAGAAAUUCCUUGAUUUAUGUAAAUGAUGAUAUAAUGCAUAUUUGCUGAAGAGUUUACAUCUCGAAGUUUUGAUGAUUAUUGCAUGUCAUUGGACAUUGAUGUUGAACACCAUGUUCCUCAUGUUCAUACUUAAAAUCAUUUAGCAGAAGCAUUUAUUAAGCGGAUGAAAUUGAUUACCCGCGCCCUGCUCAUGAAAAAGAAAUUGCAAGAUAGGGACAUACCAUUUUACAUAAUUCAUUAUUAAGUUCAGUUGAGACCAGUUGCCAAGCAUCAAUAUUUCUCAGUACAACUCGUGUUUGGGCACCAGCCAAACAUUAACAUUUACAAGUUUUUGGUUGAGUUAUCUAUGUGCCUAUUACACUGCCACAACGUACUAAAAUAAAGCCUGAAGGCAAACUGGGAAUUUAUGUUGAAUUUUGUUUGUACCAUACUUAAGGCCUCCGUAUUUAGACAUCGUAUAAAUACUCGGGGACUCAAAUGUAAUUAUGUAAUAAAGGAGGGGGCAAAUAUGUAAUAAGUGAGGAGCCCUUAUUCUAUAAAAGGCCCAUCACUCUCCUCAUUAAGAGAGGCUAAUUCUUAGGCUUGAGAUCCCCAAAGCCUCUCACCCUCUCAAAGACUCUCAAAUUCAGAGAAUAGCCUCACUCUCAUUAUAAAGGCUCUCUCCCUUUUUAACAUCUCAGAGAAAUACAAUAUCAGUGUGGACGUAGCCCAAACAUUGGGGUGAACCACGAUACAUCUUGUGUUCUUUACUUUUCUUGCAGAUUCACGGUCGGAUUUACGUUGUUCCAAGACCCAUCCGGUUUUGUGCAUCAAUAUUUAGCGCCGUUUGUGGGAAACGACACGAAAAACUAUGUCGGUUCUCUUUCAUUUUUUCAUCUCUACCGUGAAUCUGCAAAAUCUGCAAAAAAAACCCACACAAAGACUCAACCAAACUCUUGGUUGCAGUUAAGAUCUACCAAAUACACCACUACGUUUCGGUUUUCUCCACUACUGCUGUCUGCGUCCGCCCUUAAAAUACAUAAAGAAAGAGAAAAAGGAAAGAAAUUUGGGCAAAUUCGAGAGAAACCCACUAUUUUCUUUGUCAUCUUGUUCUUGAACUCCAGAGCUUCUGACCCAAUAGAUCCGCCAUGCUCAGCCUGCGGCCUCGUCGCGAUUCCAUCUCCUCUGCCAUCCAUGACGUCUGCAAGCUCUCUCGAAGCAAUCUCGUCCCUCCAUUUCUCCAACUCGAUUAAGUAUCCUCUU